UACAGAGGGGGCAAGCGUUGUUCGGAAUUACUGGGCGUAAAGGGCGCGUAGGCGGCCUGCUAAGUCGAACGUGAAAUCCCUGGGCUCAACCCAGGAACUGCGUCCGAUACUGGUUGGCUUGAAUCCGGGAGAGGGAUGUGGAAUUCCAGGUGUAGCGGCGAAAUGCGUAGAUAUCUGGAGGAACACCGGUGGCGAAGGCGGCAUCCUGGACCGGUAUUGACGCUGAGGCGCGAAAGCCAGGGGAGCAAACGGG
RNAcentral lists this ribosomal RNA (253 nucleotides) under uncultured bacterium. RNAcentral describes it as "partial 16S ribosomal RNA". It matches the Rfam family "Bacterial small subunit ribosomal RNA", at positions 524 to 776 of the family's 1533-position model. The record is from RNAcentral.